This 371-nucleotide ribosomal RNA is filed under the name uncultured bacterium. RNAcentral's name for it is "bacterial SSU rRNA". It matches the Rfam family "Bacterial small subunit ribosomal RNA", at positions 527 to 896 of the family's 1533-position model. The record is from RNAcentral.
GUAGGUGGCUAGCGUUGUCCGGAUUUACUGGGCGUAAAGCGCGCGCAGGCGGUCGUUCAAGUCGAGUGUGAAAGCCCCCGGCUCAACUGGGGAGGGUCACUCGAUACUGAUCGACUUGAAGGCAGAAGAGGGAAGCGGAAUUCCCGGUGUAGUGGUGAAAUGCGUAGAUAUCGGGAGGAACACCAGUGGCGAAGGCGGCUUUCUGGUCUGUUCUUGACGCUGAGGCGCGAAAGCUAGGGUAGCAAACGGGAUUAGAUACCCCGGUAGUCCUAGCCGUAAACGAUGGACACUAGGUGUUGGCGGUAUCAACCCCGCCAGUGCCGAAGCUAACGCAUUAAGUGUCCCGCCUGGGGAGUACGGUCGCAAGGCUG